Molecule: ribosomal RNA, 449 nt
Filed under: uncultured bacterium
Lineage: Bacteria
Description: bacterial SSU rRNA
Rfam family: Bacterial small subunit ribosomal RNA
Source: RNAcentral
UGCAAGUCGAACGAACCCUUCGGGGUUAGUGGCGCACGGGUGCGUUAACGCGUGGGAACCUGCCUUUAGGUUCGGAAUAACAGUUAGAAAUGACUGCUAAUACCGGAUAAUGUCUUCGGACCAAAGAUUUAUCGCCUUUAGAUGGGCCCGCGUUAGAUUAGAUAGUUGGUGGGGUAAUGGCCUACCAAGUCGACGAUCUAUAGCUGGUCUGAGAGGAUGAUCAGCCACACUGGGACUGAGACACGGCCCAGACCCCUACGGGAGGCAGCAGUGGGGAAUAUUGGACAAUGGGGGGAACCCUGAUCCAGCCAUGCCGCGUGUGUGAAGAAGGCCUUAUGGUUGUAAAGCACUUUAAGCGAGGAGGAGGCUACUAGUAUUAAUACUACUGGAUAGUGGACGUUACUCGCAGAAUAAGCACCGGCUAACUCUGUGCCAGCAGCCGCGGUAAU